Molecule: long non-coding RNA, 5190 nt
Filed under: Bemisia tabaci
Lineage: Eukaryota; Metazoa; Arthropoda; Insecta; Hemiptera; Aleyrodidae
Description: lncRNA ENSASIAIIG008280
Source: RNAcentral
GGCGUGGCAAACGAAGCUCGACAGAAGCGCAGGUAAGAUCGCACUCUUGCUACAGUUUUUCUAGUUAGGAGCAUGUGAGAGUGAUGCUCUGCUUAAUUACAUUUUUCGCCUCGGCACAGUCUCGGGCUUGGUGUUGAGUAUCUUUUGAUUUUCUUUCACUACUAAGUUCUUCUCUUAAACGUGAGUUCUGUGCGCUGACAACUGAACAGUUCUAUUUUGGUUGUCAAAACUACUCAUCUUCAGGAUUAAUAUUACCAGUGACUUUUCUUCAUUCUGUGCCUGGAAAUGAACAUUUCGAGUCAAAGGAUUUGCUGAAGAUGGUGGUAAAAAAUGUUAGAAGAUGACAGCGAAUGUUUGCGAGCUAGUUCUACGCCAUCUCUGGCCUCCCUCCCUGUCCAUAAAAAUAGAAAAACGGGAGUACAUUUUGGAAUAUACAGGGAGAAAACUGUGCCAGAAUACUUGGUGCCGAAAAAGCCACGAGUGAAUCUUCACCAUUCCAGAAUCGUCAUACUCACCAUCAUGGCAUCCGGCAUCAUUCUUGUGAUAUGUUUGACACUACUUGAUUUUACGAUGACUCAAACGAGAAGUGUCCCAGUAAUCCACUAUGCUCGAUAUCGCCUCGAAAAAAACUCCAACCAAAAUUCUCAGGACUCCAAACCUAAAAGGCAUAAUUACACGCAAGCCGACCCUAAGUCUGACCUUCUCCUGUAUAGUUCUCCGUUGAGCAUAAGAAAAUCAAACUCCUCCGGUUGUUUCCACUGCGGCUCCGAAAAUGUAGAGAGUUUAGCAGAUGUGAAACAGAUUCCCUCUGUUAGCCGAAGCAAGAGAAUUCCUUUCCUUAGCAGCGAGAUCGAUAAUGUCAGUGAUGAAAUCCAUGCUGUCGAUUUUCAGAGUCAAAAACUAAAAAGCCAUGAAGAUAAAAGCAUCACAGAAGAUAAAGCUCACCAUUCAAACAGUAAUGUAGAAGGUAUUAUAAAGCGCAGAGAAAAAUCGUUAGUGCUCAAUGACACUAGUAUAACACUUCCGUCUUAUGGCAUCAAUUCAACGCAAAAAAAUCAGGAAGGAAAACAAGUUGUAGCCGAGACCGAGAUUCCUGAUAUUAACAAAACAAAUUUUUACACACACGAGAAUACGGAGGAGUUUUCGACAAGUUCAACAGAUUCUUGGACCGAACCUACAUCGGCACAAAGCGAGAAAGAGCUUUCUAAACCCUUUGAAGGUUCAACAGAGUCAUGGACCGAAAAAAUACCAUUUGAGGACGAAGAAUUCCGGAUGGGAUCUGAAGAGGGUGAUCCAAUUCAUAAUUUACAUUAUGUCUACGUCGAGCCAAAAAAACCGGCGUACGUUACCCCUAUUCCGGACAGCCAAAAUCCGGAACCGGAGAUUCGAACCACGACCGCUCCGGAAAACCACCGUCGAUUCCCAGCACGCCCACGCAGUCGACCCGCAAAGCUCUACUCGAAAAGAAGAAGCCCCAACUCACGGUCCAAUGGUGCUCGGGCCCUACCGCAAAUCCAAAUCCUCGAAAGUGAUUCAUCGCAACAGCCACAAAAGUUGGAAUUGAUCAGCCCUCAAGUCACACUCGAAAAAGGAGGCGUGUUCGCAGAUGAUUCUUUGCCGGACCCGAACCCUGCAUCAAAGUCGGAAUCGCGACCGAUGGAACGACGCAUAUCUUUUGCCGAUUUUGAAGAGUACCCGCAACUUUCCAACUAUAAGAACUUGGACCAUGUCAAAAGUGUUAUGGACAUUAUUCAAUAUUUAAACACGGAGAGCCCGUUCGAAGGAACGUCAAAAGACAAACUUGCAUCAAAUUCCGGUUCCAGACGAAAGGAACGCCACAGACAACGGACCAACGCCCGCGCUGAAACACAGAAUGAGCCGACUGACGACCCAUAUACCGCUGUUGAGACCGUGGGAAAAGAACUUACCUACCCUCCCGAUUUCGGUGACACACGCCCGGUAGAUAAUUUCGUUCCCUUGCGAAAACGCGUCGGCUCCAAGCGCUACGAUUUUGACGCAGCUAAAAAUCAAGAAGCAAAUGAUUAUUUGAACUCGGAUUUGAGUGACAUUCACAGUCCUGUCAUUCCUGACGAUCCUGAACCUUCGAAAAUUUUGGACAGUAGAGCUCAGACUUCGGUUCCCGAUUUCAUCGAGGUCGGUCACGCUGACCAUGCAAAUUCCACCCCUGAGGAUGUUAGGGGCGAUAAAAUUCAAUUGCCUGAUGGUUUUGAAAUGUCCAAAGACGGAUUGGAACAUAGGUCCAAUCCUUUUCCGAUCGACAAAAUUAACAGCGAAUUUGGUGGUAAUCGGUACCAAGAUGACGCUCAUGCGACCGCGGAGGGAAAGGACUCAUUGAAACAGAGAGGUCAAACCGUGAGGCAAACUAACCCAAAAAAAUGGAACCAAGAACUGAGGUUCGACACAUCAUCAAAAAACAGCGGAAGCACCGCUAAGUCCCCGGACCCGACUCUCUUCCUGCCCAACUUCUACGGGUCAGACACCGCGUCGUACUACGCGAUGAACCCGUCGAGCUUCCUCUACGACGCCGUAACCGAGGACCACUCGGAGCGUCGCGAGCAGCGGAACCCCGCCGCUGGAUUCGGCAACUACAACGAUCUCUACACAGCCUUCAAGCCUUCCGACGUAGCGGAAAUCAACAACCUCAUGCCGGCGGCCAUGUUGGACGAGGACUACCCUCCAGCCCCCGCACGUCCACUGCUCGCGGACUCCCCCGACCCCUAUCUCAAAGCACCUCCAAUGAUUUUGGAUUACAUCCCGCGAUUGACGCCAUCCUCUGUCCACACCUCGGAGAUCUCCAGGAAGUUCGGCUUCGUUGGGGUGCCGGGCGACAACUCGACGAGGGAGAGGGUGGAAAUCACGGGGCCUGAUUUGAGUGGUACCCAGGCGACGCAUGCCAAUGAUCAGAGCCUAAGGGUGGCUGAAGGGCCAACAGCCUCGGGUCAAGGAACUCAGACUGCGAUCAACAUUUUCCCCCAAUCAUCGAAUAACGUUCCUGACGACGAAAUGAAAGAUCAUUUAGUUCCACCUUUGCCGGAUGAGAAGUCUAUCUAUUACCAAAAGCAAAGUGCUUUACUGCCAUGGGAUUCGAAUUUCCAGACCAGUAGCAUUAGAAAACAUGAUUAUCGCGAGCAACAACAACCGCAUGACCUUUUGAUUUCAACAAAUCAAUCGGUCUAUAAUAAUAUUCAGGGCAGGGAGACGAGGCACCAGAUGGACAUCGGUGGGCGUCCACCUGCUCAGCAGCAAGUGCAAAAAGAAAAUCAGGAGCUUUCGACGUCUCCCGCUCACACUCACACUCGCACACACGUGCGUACGCGGGUGCGGAGUAAAAAGCGGAACCGAAUCAGAUACCAAAAUCCGAGUCCUCCGCCGGCGCAACCGUUGCCACCGUACCAUCAGCAUCAGCCACCCACCGCCCUCGCCAUGACCAACGCCACGCAAGAUACCCAGGAUGCUGAAAGUGCGGUAGUCUGAUAUGGAACAACAAUUACACAGAGACAGAUCAAUUUUCUGGUUACUGGAACUGCUUUAUUUGUUAUAAGUGCGUUAUAAGUGGGAUUCACGGCGAUUCGCCUAAUUACAAGGGUGCUUCAGAUAACCUCGCUUUUUAGAUAUAAACUCUCUGAACGACCCUCGUAAUCACGACUAACUUUACUGCAGAGCAAAUCCUCUGAUUAGCCAGCUUAAUUUUCGCAUUCCUAAGCAUCUAAUUUUCAGAAAAGAGCUCGAAUUAUAUGGAUGUCACUGCUUUGGUCAUAUUCAUCAUGCAUUCCUUGUAGUUUAAGUGUUCGAUUAAAGACGGCGCUUUUGCCAGUUUCUGUACUAGAUGAAAUAAUUGUAUGAUUAUGAAAAAUAGUAAUUAUCCAAUUUUCUUUGAUAUUCCUGUUCUUUAUGGUGUAAGGUAUGACCAUAAACCUUUCACCGUCAAUUUGACCAAUUCUUCUUUUUUUUUUCAUACGAUGUGAAGGUAAAUUGAGAUUGAACCGCGCAAAAUACUAAAAUUAAGACUAAUGAAAAUAAAAGUUACUGCUUAAAAAAGGCUGUCUACAAUAGAAGAACCGAUGGAAUCCGAUAAAAUCUGAGUGUGCAUGUGAAGGAAAGACUAUGAUUCAGUGUGUGUUUGCGAUACUUACGUGAAGAACGCGAUCACUCAAUUUCGUGCUAUUGUGUUCAGUCCUGAUUUUUAAUUCCUUUUUAUUUUUUUUAAAAUUAAGUAUCAAUUGUUAAUGAUAAACUCGUAACAUUUUGAACAUUAUUUGCCAUGAGUCACUGACUAGAGAAAGUAAAGCUUAGAACGCUGGUAUUAUUCUCCUUCAAUACCGAUUGACGCAACAUUCAAUACUUCAAGCUGACUCUAUGAUGAAUGACAAGUUGCAGGGCCGACAUUCUGAAGGAGCUAGGCGAAGAGUCCGUGUUGCAUUGGAAUUCUGUAAAUGAUUUGAACUGGCCUCUUCAGACCUGGCAUCAUUAAGUACAGCCAUUUAUCGAUUUACACGGAUCGAUUUAUUUCCAUUGACAGCAUUGGAAGAGUUUUUAAUUCAAAUUGAUAUAAUUCGUACUGAAAUAAUUCAUUACAUCAAAUUAGAUCCAAAUGAUGACAUAUUUCAGUGCUCGUAAAACAAGGAAAAUCAUAUUGCCAGAAUAUUUGAUACCUGCUAAACCUGCUGGUCCUUGUGACUGGAUUACAAAGCAGCAUUUGUUAUUUGCAAGGUUUUGAUAACCGUUAUUUCAUUAGGUUGUCAGCCCUGCAAAAAGUUGAUUUGAAUUGUUCUGAUUGGAAUUUUCAGCUCAAUGAUUAUGCUUUGACUCAUCAAAAAUGUUGAUCAUUGUCUCUACAAUGAAAUAUUACACAGCUGCGUCCCUGAAUGGCAAGAAACCAGUUACUAAAUUUUCUUGUGGACUAAGAGAGAUUCUGAGUGAAGGAAUAAAUUGCAUUUUUUUCUCAGAUAUAAAAUAUUUUAGCAGACAUAUAUUAUGAAAUGAUCACGCGUUUACUAUGUGAUUACUGGACCAGGGACCUAUAAGUUUUGUGUUUUCAAUCCUCGCCGCAACGUAUUUAAUGUAAUUGUAAUGUGCGCUUUGCGCCUCCUUUUGAAUGUUUUUUUUGCCUAUCCUUUGUAGCUAAUUUAUUACUUACAAAUUAAAAUUUUGUUGAUUUUUUGUAGUAAU